This 1167-nucleotide long non-coding RNA is filed under the name Numida meleagris (helmeted guineafowl). RNAcentral's name for it is "lncRNA (ENSNMEG00000010327.1)". The record is from RNAcentral. Lineage: Eukaryota; Metazoa; Chordata; Aves; Galliformes; Numididae.
GGGCCCGGAGUUGUACAGAGAGUUUUGUAAAGCGGCCGCGCCCCCUGCCUAGCAGCGGGGUUAUGCUCUUUUAUUUCAUUUUAUAUCAUUUAAGUUUUUUUUCCGGGUUUCCCAUAAUGAUUUUUUUACCUAUUCUUUUUUUUUUCCCUCUUUUUUCCCCUUUUCUUUCUCUUUUUUUCCUCUUCUUUUUCGCUUUUUCCCCUUCUUUUCCUCUUCUUUUCACUUUCCCCCCCUUUUUUUCCUUUUCUAUUUUCCCCCUUUUUCCCAUUAUUUCCCCCCCUUCUUUUUCCUUUUUCCCCUUUCUUUUUUCCACGUUCUUUCCCUCUUUCCUUUUUUUCCCCUCUAUUUUUCCUCCUUUCUUCCUCUCCCCCCUUUUCCCCAUUUUUCCUUUUUCCCUUUUCUCAUUUUAUUUUCCUUUUAUCCUUUUAUUUCCCUUUAGUUUUUUUUCCUUUUUUCCCCUUUUUUCUUUUAAUCCUCUCCGUUUUUUUCCCUUUUUAUGCUAUUUUUUUCUUUUUCUUUUUUAUUUUUUUAUUUCAUUUUUUUUCAUUUUCCCCUUUGUUUUUUCCUUCUUUUCCUUUUUCUUUGUUUUUCCCCCUUUUCCCUUUAUUUUCCUAUAUUGCUUUUUCAUUUUUCAUUUUUCCUUCUUUAUUUUUCUUCUUUUUCCCUUUUUCUUUUUUGUCCCUUUCCCUUUACUCCUUUUUUUUCUCCAUUUUCUUUUUUUUUCCCUUUUUCCCCUUUUCUUUUCUUUUUUUGCUUUUCCCCCUUUUUUAUUACCUUAUCCCUUUUUCCCCUUUUUUGCUUUCUUUUUCCUUUUGCCUUUUCAUUUUUCUUCCCCUUUCCCCUCUUCUUUCUCUUUCCCCCCUUUUUCUCUUCUGAUUUUCCUUUUGUCCUCUUUUAUUUCCUUUCUUCCCCUUUUUUUCCUCCUUUUGCCCCCCCCCACCCCAUUUUCUCCUUUCGCUUUUUCUCCUUUGCCCAUUUAAUUUAUUACGACAACCCCCCCCACACCCCACCAUGAGGAGCAGCCGCUCUUCCUCCCCCCUCCCACCCCCCUCCACCCCACCAGGGCCGUUCGUUACCGACGAACUCUGUAAUUAAUUAUUAAUUAACGCCGCAGACGUUAAUUGAGGCGGCGCUGUGUGUGAAUAAAGGACGGAUGGCACCGCCGCA